GCAUUGGUGGUUUAGUGGUAGAAUUCUAGCUUGCCAUGUUGGAGGCCUGGGUUCGAUUCCCAGCCAAUGCA
This 71-nucleotide transfer RNA is filed under the name Ameiurus melas (black bullhead). It matches the Rfam family "tRNA". Rfam says of the family: Transfer RNA (tRNA) molecules are approximately 80 nucleotides in length. Their secondary structure includes four short double-helical elements and three loops (D, anti-codon, and T loops). Further hydrogen bonds mediate the characteristic L-shaped molecular structure. tRNAs have two regions of fundamental functional importance: the anti-codon, which is responsible for specific mRNA codon recognition, and the 3' end, to which the tRNAs corresponding amino acid is attached (by aminoacyl-tRNA synthetases). tRNAs cope with the degeneracy of the genetic code in two manners: having more than one tRNA (with a specific anti-codon) for a particular amino acid; and 'wobble' base-pairing, i.e. permitting non-standard base-pairing at the 3rd anti-codon position. Lineage: Eukaryota; Metazoa; Chordata; Actinopteri; Siluriformes; Ictaluridae. The record is from Rfam by way of RNAcentral.